This 495-nucleotide ribosomal RNA is filed under the name uncultured bacterium. RNAcentral's name for it is "partial 16S ribosomal RNA". It matches the Rfam family "Bacterial small subunit ribosomal RNA", at positions 28 to 507 of the family's 1533-position model. The record is from RNAcentral.
GACGAACGCUGGCGGCGUGCCUAAUACAUGCAAGUAGAACGCUGAAGGAGGAGCUUGCUUCUCCGGAUGAGUUGCGAACGGGUGAGUAACGCGUAGGUAACCUGCCUGGUAGCGGGGGAUAACUAUUGGAAACGAUAGCUAAUACCGCAUAACAGUAGAUAUCGCAUGAUAUCUGCUUGAAAGGUGCAAUUGCAUCACUACCAGAUGGACCUGCGUUGUAUUAGCUAGUUGGUGAGGUAACGGCUCACCAAGGCGACGAUACAUAGCCGACCUGAGAGGGUGAUCGGCCGCACUGGGACUGAGACACGGCCCAGACUCCUACGGGAGGCAGCAGUAGGGAAUCUUCGGCAAUGGACGGAAGUCUGACCGAGCAACGCCGCGUGAGUGAAGAAGGUUUUCGGAUCGUAAAGCUCUGUUGUAAGAGAAGAACGAGUGUGAGAGUGGAAAGUUCACACUGUGACGGUAUCUUACCAGAAAGGGACGGCUAACUACGUG